GACGAACGCUGGCGGCGUGCUUAACACAUGCAAGUCGAACGGAAAGGCCUCUUUCGGGGGGUACUCGAGGGGCGAACGGGUGAGUAACACGUGAGUAACCUGCCCUUGACUUUGGGAUAACGUCAGGAAACUGGGGCUAAUACCGGAUAGGAGCUCCUGCUGCAUGGUGGGGGUUGGAAAGUUUCGGCGGUUGGGGAUGGACUCGCGGCUUAUCAGCUUGUUGGUGGGGUAGUGGCUUACCAAGGCUUUGACGGGUAGCCGGCCUGAGAGGGUGACCGGCCACAUUGGGACUGAGAUCCGGCCCAGACUCCUACGGGAGGCAGCAGUGGGGAAUAUUGCACAAUGGGUGGAAGCCUGAUGCAGCAACGCCGUGUGCGGGAUGACGGCCUUCGGGUUGUAAACCGCUUUCGCUCAUGACGAAGCUUUGUGUGACGGUAGUGGGUAAAGAAGCACCGGCUAACUACGUG
This 467-nucleotide ribosomal RNA is filed under the name uncultured bacterium. RNAcentral's name for it is "partial 16S ribosomal RNA". It matches the Rfam family "Bacterial small subunit ribosomal RNA", at positions 28 to 507 of the family's 1533-position model. The record is from RNAcentral.